GCCAUUGCUCAGUGGUAGAGCAGCUGCAUGGUAUGCAGAAGGACCCAGGUUCAAUCCCUGAUAUCUGCA
RNAcentral lists this transfer RNA (69 nucleotides) under Sphaerodactylus townsendi. RNAcentral's name for it is "tRNA-Thr". It matches the Rfam family "tRNA". From Rfam's summary of the family: Transfer RNA (tRNA) molecules are approximately 80 nucleotides in length. Their secondary structure includes four short double-helical elements and three loops (D, anti-codon, and T loops). Lineage: Eukaryota; Metazoa; Chordata; Lepidosauria; Squamata; Sphaerodactylidae. The record is from RNAcentral.